GACAUUCUCAUUCAGCUACUGACUUAGCGGUUACUACUGACUUACUUUAUAAUGACUUUGUUGCUUCCGAUCCAGGGGUACUACGCCUUUCCAUCUCAUCUAACUCUUUCACUCCUUUACUAUACUAAUACAUACAACUACUUAUCUAUUUACUACUUUCCUCUUGAACUUCUUGACUAGUAAUGAAUUCUUUGGUUAGCUAGUAUAGUCUAGCCCCAACUCCCCGGUAGUAGUAGCACUGGUAGCAGACUUUCGCACAGAUCCAAUCUCUCUUUAGCUUCGGCUUGAGCCCUCUUAUUCUUAUAAAGAAGUUGUUUAAAGAGCAGGUGAGGAAGCUUUCUCAUUUGUCAUAUAAUAUGGGGUUUGUUUUUGUUUGUUGUUAUGAAGUCCUGUCUUUUGAGUCCUGAGUGAACCUUAUUAAUAGCUAAAGUGAUGUUUGUUGUUUCAAGAUCAGAAGUAGCAAGCGGGUAUCUCGGGUAUAGAAGAGAAGGCCCUUCUAAAUAAUUGCUAGUGCAUCUAGUAAUGGAAUAGGAAUUAACUGGGCAGUAACCAAACCUUUUUGAGUACUAUUUCUUUCUCUGUAGGCAGGCAAUAGGGAAAGAAAGGAGGUAAACAAUCUUAUUAAAGAAAGGAGCACGAGCACUCGGCGAACUGAAAGAGAUGCUCUUAUAGAUGAAACAAGAAAAGGUAGAAUACCACUCCACUCUCAAUCAGGUCUUACAGCGAAUGCAGUUUCAGGGUUUCCGUUUUCAAGUAAGCUGUAGAAUAGCCUGUUCGAAAGUUGGAUGCUGGCGACGCCUCCGAAGCUGGUCAUUAUUGAGGUGUAAGAAUUUCCUGUUGGGAAGUGAAGUCAAAUUGCCUGUUUCUCUGCUUCUACUAUUGCUAAAAAGACAUAUGGCUCUGGACCACUACUCGUUUAAGAAGAGAUGACUGACUCUAAGGUCUAUAGGGAACCUACACAUCCCAUAGUCAAAUAAAGAAUGAAACUCCAACCAAAGCCGGAAAGAAUCACUUUGUAUACCAAACGCACCAAACCCAGAGUGAGGUUAGUUGAAAGAAGUAAGAGUAGCCUAGGAGCCUAAUGAAGUUAGAUGAGAUGUAUAGUAUUAACUGGCAAGAAGAGAGUACUGGUGUUUCAGCAGGGUCAAAUGCAGCUGUUAGAGCAGAUACCAGAGUUAGUUCGGGGCGGGCCUUCAGAUAGAGUUAGUUCAGAUAGCCUACCGAUCGAUUCUUUUUCACUCCUCCUUAAGUUUAAGUCACCGGUUAGUAAGUGGUUUCAUUCUUUGACUUAUAGCCUAAAUAGAACCUUUCUGGGGUGUGGUCAAUAUAGAACCUGUCCUGUCCAUUCUUCAGUAGUAGCUUUUGUAUGAGGGUACGAAACAGGAUGCUUAGCGUAGUUGCUAAGUUCACUUGUCUCUGCUUGUUACCUAGUGCUCCUACUUAAGGUAAAGCCCUCGGUUAAGCCUUAUCAGCAAUGGCAUUCUAAUAGGAUUCAACUCGGGGAAGGGAAGCAGUUCAAAUAGUCUCUUGAGCACCGGAAGAAGCCACUGGUAGAUCAGCUGUUGACCACUUUGACGAAACUGAUUCUGUUAUCUUGCUUAUAUAAUCACUUUUGAACUCACUACUCCUUCGCAACAAGGCCUUAGCAACCAUCAAGUGGGAAUUGACCUCUAAAGUAGGGGCCAAGCCAACAAAGGGAAAGCCCAGAACUGAGCUCUACGACUUCACUCUUAUUGCUGAACUCUUAUUGCUUUCGAGCCCUAAUAUGGGAACAGGAAUCAUAUGCUUUUAAAGCACCAAAAGAGUAGACUUAUCUCGCAACUCACCUCUCUCCUCUCCACUUAGUACUAGCCGUAAGAAGGCUUAACCUUAAUCCUCAACAACUUCACUUUGAUGCCUAGACACAGCUUCCCGACACAGAGAUGCUUGCCAUUAACUUAAGGGCUCCGGCAGUAAACCCGGGUCAACUGAUACAGAAUUCCACUUGCACUGAAGAAACCCUCUUCUAGUAUUGGAAUGAGACAAGGCCUGCCCCUAAUAGAUUGAUUCGAUUGAAUCACUAUCAGAAACAUCAAACCAGAACUAUCACUGGCACUGCUCCUGCAGAAGAUCUUUCCCCUGGUAAGAAGUUCCUCCGCCAAUAACCUAUCUUUGAGACUUGAUUAACUCACCCUGCUUUGCUUCUUUAGAAGAUUAUUGUACCUCGCUUCAAAGCCGAUGCUUUACCUCGCCAGGGGCAACUCGGGAUUACACUCAGGAAAGCCUUUCACUCCUGGUACUAAUUAACUCCCUUUCUUUCUAUAGGGGCCUCUUCUCUAGUAGACUAGGAUUACACUCGGGAUGAAACCUAGUGGUUGCUCAGCCUCUCUUCUAAAAGGAAGGAGUGCUAGGGAAGGAAAGACAGAAAGAAACUAACCCCUCGUAGUUGAAUGCAAAGAUGCGUUUUCUCGAUAUACGAAAUGCCCUGAGUUGCUUGUUGAGGAGUUGUUUGCUUCACUUAAAAACAAGAUAGAUUUCCACUCCCCUUAUAUGAGUGCACAGUAGAAAAACCCUACUUACUAUAUUAUUACCUACUUACUAAAUUAUUAGAUUAUUAUUAUAGGAUGACAUUAUUAUAGGAUGACAUUCCAGUAAGGGGGAUAGUCGGCUUAACCAGCAUCUGGAGCGCACGUAGCAAGCAGAACCUUCCUUCUAUCUACUUAAUGGAGUAGGCACAUCAACUAUUCCAGUAAAAGGUCAGCUACAUCAGUUCUGUGAAAAGGGGAAGCCAGGCCUGUAGUACUGCUCCACAAACACGGAUUCAAAAGACACUUGGUAUUCCACAAGAACAUGUGCAUUCCUACUAAAACAAGGGAAAGUGCCAGGUAAGAAAGAGAAUCAUCAGUUGAAAGAUCAGGUAAGGAAUCAGAGGCUCAAGUCAGGUCGAGGCCAAUAGAAUUCUCAUAUAAUAUAAUCAAGAUAUAAUAAGAAUGAAUGAAGUGGAAAAAGCCCUUUCCUGAGUGAACCUAAUUUCUCAUGUUAUGCGGCAGGGGUUGGAAGCCGGGGAAGCUGUGAGAAAGUAUUGUGUUGGUGCUGUAUCUCCUAGUAUAUGAGUUGGGGAAAUAAGAGAGUCUCGUCUCCUAUAAUACAAUCAGAUUACAAUCAGAUAGUCUACUAUAAUAAGAUAUAAUAAGACCUAUAAUAAGAUAUAAUAAGAUAAGCUAUUCCAUUUAGUAGAGAAAUAGUAUGUGCCAGAGCCAAACUAAUCCAUCUUUUUUUCAAUUGAAUCUAGGGAUUCCUAAGGUGUUAAGUCACUUCUAUUCUUUAGUGCAAAGGUCGUUCUAGUUGGUCAUGCAGAUUGACUCUUCUAUUUCUCUAUCUUGACUCGGAUGAGCCGAUGAUGUGCCCCAAGUAUACCAGCUCUCUCAUCCAUCCCUUUCUGCUGGUUCUAUACUACCUAACCAUGGAUAAUCUGUCGACCUAGCCCCUUUGCCUUGACGCUCUACUCGCACUGCGAACCUAAUCUUCCGCAUCAUUCACUAAGCGCGAGUGUUUCCGCUUUCUUCCUAAUUCUCAGUUUAGAUCUUAUUGCUUUCUCUUUAGAGUUAGGGGUUGGUCGAGCUACCUUCCGUACACUCUCGGGUUAGGUUAACGGGCUCGUGUUCCAAGUGUUUCACUCGUUUAUCCGCUCUUUUUUCACUUUCCUUUGAACUAGAAAGAUAUUGUAGAAUAGAGAUCUUGUGCUUUACCUCAGCUAGACAACUAAGAAGGCACUCUCGUCAAUAGGAAUAGGACGUGGUGUCAUGAUCGCGCACUCGACCAAAGAAGAAUCCGAGUCGGCGGGGAGGUGUGAUAAGAUCGUUGGAAGAUUAGUCUACACUCCAUCUAAAUAGAGACUCGAGAAGGUAGUUUAAUAAAGUGGCGACAUUCUUUCUGCUUGCUCUGCGGAAUCCAAUAUGUCUUCACCACAUUCAUCCCAAGGAAUGGACGACUACAGCCGUACCGUACCUAUUGUUAUUCUAUCGGUGGAGUUUCGUUUAGGCCUGUGGGAGUUAUACAAAUAAACGAUCCUCAACUAAU
This 4059-nucleotide long non-coding RNA is filed under the name Musa acuminata (dwarf banana). Its description in RNAcentral is "long non-coding RNA (MACU_LNC008490)". Lineage: Eukaryota; Viridiplantae; Streptophyta; Magnoliopsida; Zingiberales; Musaceae. The record is from RNAcentral.